AUUGAACGCUAGCGGCAUGCCUUACACAUGCAAGUCGAACGGCAGCACGGGGCAACCUGGUGGCGAGUGGCGAACGGGUGAGUAAUGUAUCGGAACGUGCCCAGUAGCGGGGGAUAACUACGCGAAAGCGUAGCUAAUACCGCAUACGCCCUACGGGGAAAGGGGGGGAUCGCAAGACCUCGCACUAUUGGAGCGGCUGAUAUCGGUUUCGCUAGUUGGUGAGGUAAAGGCUCACCAAGGCUGCGAUCCGUAACUGGUUUGAGAGGACGACCAGCCACGCUGGGACUGAGACACGGCCCAGACUCCUACGGGAGGCAGCAGGGGGGCAUUUUGGACAAUGGGGGCAACCCUGAUCCAGCAAUGCCGCGUGUGCGAAGAAGGCCUUCGGGUUGUAAAGCACUUUUGGCAGGAACGAAACGGUGCCGGAUAAUACCUGGCGCCACUGACGGUACCUGCAGAAUAAGCACCGGCUAACUACGUGCCAGCAGCCGCGGUAA
This 497-nucleotide ribosomal RNA is filed under the name uncultured bacterium. Its description in RNAcentral is "partial 16S ribosomal RNA". It matches the Rfam family "Bacterial small subunit ribosomal RNA", at positions 29 to 523 of the family's 1533-position model. The record is from RNAcentral.